UUGCACGCUGGCGGCAUGCCUUACACAUGCCAGUCGAACGGCAGCGCGGACUUCGGUCUGGCGGCGAGUGGCGAACGGGUGAGUAAUACAUCGGAACGUACCCUGUUGUGGGGGAUAACUAGUCGAAAGAUUAGCUAAUACCGCAUACGACCUGAGGGUGCAAGUGGGGGACCGCAAGGCCUCACGCAGCAGGAGCGGCCGAUGUCUGAUUAGCUAGUUGGUGGGGUAAAGGCCCACCAAGGCGACGAUCAGUAGCUAGUCUGAGAGGACGAUCAGCCACACUGGGACUGAGACACGGCCCAGACUCCUACGGGAGGCAGCAGUGGGGAAUUUUGGACAAUGGGGGCAACACUGAUCCAGCAAUGCCGCGUGUGUGAAGAAGGCCUUCGGGUUGUAAAGAACUUUUGUCCGGAAAGAAAUCGCGCUGGUUAAUACCUGGCGUGGAUGACGGUACCGGAAGAAUAAGCACCGGCUAACUACGUG
Molecule: ribosomal RNA, 483 nt
Filed under: uncultured bacterium
Lineage: Bacteria
Description: partial 16S ribosomal RNA
Rfam family: Bacterial small subunit ribosomal RNA
Source: RNAcentral